Small nucleolar RNA from Hyla sarda, 104 nucleotides. RefSeq annotates it as small nucleolar RNA U13. NCBI's taxonomy places the organism in Eukaryota, Metazoa, Chordata, Amphibia, Anura, Hylidae. The transcript has a single exon. The record is from RefSeq and is a predicted model, not a curated record.
AGCCCUCUGGCUACCUCCACAGUGGAGUGGAUGAAUGGGUGAGCACACAGCUGAGUGAUAUGUGUGACCUACCUGUUACGACGUGGCACAUUACCCUUCUGAGC